Molecule: ribosomal RNA, 1411 nt
Filed under: Pseudomonas gingeri NCPPB 3146 = LMG 5327
Lineage: Bacteria; Pseudomonadati; Pseudomonadota; Gammaproteobacteria; Pseudomonadales; Pseudomonadaceae
Description: bacterial LSU rRNA
Rfam family: Bacterial large subunit ribosomal RNA
Source: RNAcentral
AAGGCCGAGAGCUGAUGACGAGUGUUCUUUUAGAACACGAAGUGGUUGAUGCCAUGCUUCCAAGAAAAGCUUCUAAGCUUCAGGUAACCAGGAACCGUACCCCAAACCGACACAGGUGGUUGGGUAGAGAAUACCAAGGCGCUUGAGAGAACUCGGGUGAAGGAACUAGGCAAAAUGGCACCGUAACUUCGGGAGAAGGUGCGCCGGUGAGGGUGAAGGACUUGCUCCGUAAGCUCAUGCCGGUCGAAGAUACCAGGCCGCUGCGACUGUUUAUUAAAAACACAGCACUCUGCAAACACGAAAGUGGACGUAUAGGGUGUGACGCCUGCCCGGUGCCGGAAGGUUAAUUGAUGGGGUUAGCUAACGCGAAGCUCUUGAUCGAAGCCCCGGUAAACGGCGGCCGUAACUAUAACGGUCCUAAGGUAGCGAAAUUCCUUGUCGGGUAAGUUCCGACCUGCACGAAUGGCGUAACGAUGGCGGCGCUGUCUCCACCCGAGACUCAGUGAAAUUGAAAUCGCUGUGAAGAUGCAGUGUAUCCGCGGCUAGACGGAAAGACCCCGUGAACCUUUACUAUAGCUUUGCACUGGACUUUGAAUUUGCUUGUGUAGGAUAGGUGGGAGGCUUUGAAGCGUGGACGCCAGUUCGCGUGGAGCCAUCCUUGAAAUACCACCCUGGCAACUUUGAGGUUCUAACUCAGGUCCGUUAUCCGGAUCGAGGACAGUGUAUGGUGGGUAGUUUGACUGGGGCGGUCUCCUCCUAAAGAGUAACGGAGGAGUACGAAGGUGCGCUCAGACCGGUCGGAAAUCGGUCGUAGAGUAUAAAGGCAAAAGCGCGCUUGACUGCGAGACAGACACGUCGAGCAGGUACGAAAGUAGGUCUUAGUGAUCCGGUGGUUCUGUAUGGAAGGGCCAUCGCUCAACGGAUAAAAGGUACUCCGGGGAUAACAGGCUGAUACCGCCCAAGAGUUCAUAUCGACGGCGGUGUUUGGCACCUCGAUGUCGGCUCAUCACAUCCUGGGGCUGAAGCCGGUCCCAAGGGUAUGGCUGUUCGCCAUUUAAAGUGGUACGCGAGCUGGGUUUAGAACGUCGUGAGACAGUUCGGUCCCUAUCUGCCGUGGACGUUUGAGAUUUGAGAGGGGCUGCUCCUAGUACGAGAGGACCGGAGUGGACGAACCUCUGGUGUUCCGGUUGUCACGCCAGUGGCAUUGCCGGGUAGCUAUGUUCGGAAAAGAUAACCGCUGAAAGCAUCUAAGCGGGAAACUUGCCUCAAGAUGAGAUCUCACUGGAACCUUGAGUUCCCUGAAGGGCCGUCGAAGACUACGACGUUGAUAGGCAGGGUGUGUAAGCGCUGUGAGGCGUUGAGCUAACCUGUACUAAUUGCCCGUGAGGCUUGACCAUAUAACACCCAAGCA